Blastocladiella emersonii ATCC 22665 is the source of this 105-nucleotide non-coding RNA. NCBI's taxonomy places the organism in Eukaryota, Fungi, Blastocladiomycota, Blastocladiomycetes, Blastocladiales, Blastocladiaceae. The record is from the annotation of a GenBank genome assembly.
GCCCUAGUAGCACAAUCGGUUAGUGCGCCGUGCUUAUAUGAGCGUUCCUCAUAUAUAUAACGCACAGUGACGCGGAGGUUGCGGGUUCGAGCCCCGCCUAGAGCA